This 775-nucleotide ribosomal RNA is filed under the name uncultured Neocallimastigales. RNAcentral's name for it is "partial large subunit ribosomal RNA". It matches the Rfam family "Eukaryotic large subunit ribosomal RNA", at positions 22 to 645 of the family's 3401-position model. The record is from RNAcentral. Lineage: Eukaryota; Fungi; Neocallimastigomycota; Neocallimastigomycetes; Neocallimastigales.
AUAUCAGUCAUGCAUAGCAUAUCAAUAAGCGGAGGAAAAGAAACUAACAAGGAUUCCCUUAGUAACGGCGAGUGAAGCGGGAAGAGCUCAAAUUUGAAAUCUUCAAGGUUCUACCUUGACGAAUUGUAGUUUAUAGAAGUGUUUUCUGUUAGUGGAGUGGCAAAAGUUCUUUGGAAUAGGACAUCAUAGAGGGUGAGAAUCCCGUAUUUGGUCAUUCCUCCUAGCGUUGUGAUACACUUUCAACGAGUCGGAUUGUUUGGGAAUGCAGUCCAAAAUGGGUGGUAAAUUUCAUCUAAAGCUAAAUAUUGGCGAGAGACCGAUAGCGAACAAGUACCGUGAGGGAAAGAUGAAAGGAACUUUGAAAAGAGAGUUAAACAGUACGUGAAAUUGUCAAAAGGGAAGCGUUUGACACCAGUGUUGUUUUUCCGAAAAUCAAUUACGAAUGUUUUGUUUUUGAGAAGUUAUGACUUCAUCGGCUUGCUUCUCUCUUUACGAAACUUUCUUAAUGCACUUUUCAGUUAACAAGUCAACAUCAAUUUCUUUUGUUGUAAAAGGGUAUGAGGAAGGUGGCUUUCUUUUCGGAGAAAGUGUUUAUAGCCUUGUGCCUCUGCAAUCGGAGAGAUUGAGGUCUGCAGCGUAGAUCCCUUCGGGGUUAGAUACGUUUGUGCUAAGUUAUAGCUUUUCAUAGACAACUUGUUGACUAUGUUUAGUCUUGUAGCUUACUCGCUGAUGCUAUUUUACCUACGCUUAGGAUGUUGAUCUCUCACAGUCGAGC